AUUGAACGCUGGCGGCAGGCCUAACACUUGCAAGUCGAACGGUAGCACAGAGAGCUUGCUCUCGGGUGACGAGUGGCGGACGGGUGAGUAACGUCUGGGAAACUGCCCGAUGGAGGGGGAUAACUACUGGAAACGGUAGCUAAUACCGCAUAACGUCGCAAGACCAAAGUGGGGGACCUUCGGGCCUCACACCAUCGGAUGUGCCCAGAUGGGAUUAGCUAGUAGGUGGGGUAAUGGCUCACCUAGGCGACGAUCCCUAGCUGGUCUGAGAGGAUGACCAGCCACACCGGAACUGAGACACGGUCCAGACUCCUACGGGAGGCAGCAGUGGGGAAUAUUGCACAAUGGGCGCAAGCCUGAUGCAGCCAUGCCGCGUGUAUGAAGAAGGCCUUCGGGUUGUAAAGUACUUUCAGCGGGGAGGAAGGCGGUGAAGUUAAUAGCUUCACCGAUUGACGUUACCCGCAGAAGAAGCACCGGCUAACUCCGUGCCAGCAGCCGCCGUAA
This 504-nucleotide ribosomal RNA is filed under the name uncultured bacterium. Its description in RNAcentral is "partial 16S ribosomal RNA". It matches the Rfam family "Bacterial small subunit ribosomal RNA", at positions 30 to 523 of the family's 1533-position model. The record is from RNAcentral.